This 559-nucleotide ribosomal RNA is filed under the name Escherichia coli. RNAcentral's name for it is "partial 23S ribosomal RNA". It matches the Rfam family "Bacterial large subunit ribosomal RNA", at positions 1291 to 1835 of the family's 2925-position model. The record is from RNAcentral. Lineage: Bacteria; Pseudomonadati; Pseudomonadota; Gammaproteobacteria; Enterobacterales; Enterobacteriaceae.
CGAAUGCUGACAUAAGUAACGAUAAAGCGGGUGAAAAGCCCGCUCGCCGGAAGACCAAGGGUUCCUGUCCAACGUUAAUCGGGGCAGGGUGAGUCGACCCCUAAGGCGAGGCCGAAAGGCGUAGUCGAUGGGAAACAGGUUAAUAUUCCUGUACUUGGUGUUACUGCGAAGGGGGGACGGAGAAGGCUAUGUUGGCCGGGCGACGGUUGUCCCGGUUUAAGCGUGUAGGCUGGUUUUCCAGGCAAAUCCGGAAAAUCAAGGCUGAGGCGUGAUGACGAGGCACUACGGUGCUGAAGCAACAAAUGCCCUGCUUCCAGGAAAAGCCUCUAAGCAUCAGGUAACAUCAAAUCGUACCCCAAACCGACACAGGUGGUCAGGUAGAGAAUACCAAGGCGCUUGAGAGAACUCGGGUGAAGGAACUAGGCAAAAUGGUGCCGUAACUUCGGGAGAAGGCACGCUGAUAUGUAGGUGAAGUCCCUCGCGGAUGGAGCUGAAAUCAGUCGAAGAUACCAGCUGGCUGCAACUGUUUAUUAAAAACACAGCACUGUGCAAACACGAA